GCCUGAAUGGCGGAACUGGUAGACGCUGGGGACUUAAAAUCCCUUACUCGUAAGAGUGUAGGAGUUCAAUUCUCCUUUUAGGCA
RNAcentral lists this transfer RNA (84 nucleotides) under Desulfosporosinus sp. Its description in RNAcentral is "tRNA-Leu". It matches the Rfam family "tRNA". From Rfam's summary of the family: Transfer RNA (tRNA) molecules are approximately 80 nucleotides in length. RNAcentral also lists the same sequence under 2 other names. The record is from RNAcentral. Lineage: Bacteria; Bacillati; Bacillota; Clostridia; Eubacteriales; Desulfitobacteriaceae.